GUGCUCGCUUCGGCAGCACAUAUGCUAAAAUUGGAAUGAUACAGAGAAGAUUAGCAUGGCCCCUGUGCAAGGAUGACAUGCAAAAUCGUGAGGCAUUCCAUAUUUUG
This 107-nucleotide small nuclear RNA is filed under the name Monodon monoceros (narwhal). The record is from RNAcentral. Lineage: Eukaryota; Metazoa; Chordata; Mammalia; Artiodactyla; Monodontidae.